Non-coding RNA from Lupinus angustifolius (narrow-leaved blue lupine), 142 nucleotides. Lineage: Eukaryota; Viridiplantae; Streptophyta; Magnoliopsida; Fabales; Fabaceae. The record is from Rfam.
AAGGCUUCAAUAUCAAUGAGGUUUUGCUUCCACUUAUAUAAAUGUGUUUAGUAAAGUUUUUAUUGAAGCCGAUAAAUUUGUUCCCCUCGCUAUCCAAUGCUGCAAUUUGUGUGCUGUAUUAGGACGUCGGGGUACUAAAUUC